AAAAGCUUUCUUUAAUUGAAUAAUUGAAUUUAAUUUUUUAGUGCAAAAGCAAAAAUAAAAAUUAGGGACAAGAAGACCCUAUGAAUUUUUUAUUAAAUUUUAUAAAAAGUUUUAUAAAAUUUAAUUUAAUUGGGGUGAUGGAAAAAGAAUAAAUAUCUUUUUUUUAAAGAAAAUUGGUUCCGUUUUUAGCGAUUAAAUGAAAAAAAUACUCUAGGGAUAACAGCGUAAUAAUUUUGGAUAGUUCAUAUAGAUAAAAUAGUUUGCGACCUCGAUGUUGGAUUAGGAUUCUUUUUUGGUGAAGAAGUUAAAAAAA
Molecule: ribosomal RNA, 313 nt
Filed under: Ixodes inopinatus
Lineage: Eukaryota; Metazoa; Arthropoda; Arachnida; Ixodida; Ixodidae
Description: partial large subunit ribosomal RNA
Source: RNAcentral